RNAcentral lists this ribosomal RNA (405 nucleotides) under uncultured bacterium. RNAcentral describes it as "bacterial SSU rRNA". It matches the Rfam family "Bacterial small subunit ribosomal RNA", at positions 976 to 1381 of the family's 1533-position model. The record is from RNAcentral.
UAGCCUUGACAUAUAUUAGAAUCCGACAGAGAUGUUGGAGUGCCUUCGGGAGCUUUUAUACAGGUGCUGCACGGCUGUCGUCAGCUCGUGUCGUGAGAUGUUGGGUUAAGUCCCGCAACGAGCGCAACCCUCGUCACUAGUUACUAACGGUUCGGCCGAGGACUCUAGUGAGACUGCCUUCGUAAGGAGGAGGAAGGUGAGGACGACGUCAAGUCAUCAUGGCCCUUACGGCUAGGGCAACACACGUGCUACAAUGGCCAGGACAGUGAGACGCGAUACCGCGAGGUGGAGCAAAUCUAUAAACCUGGUCUCAGUUCGGAUUGUAGUCUGCAACUCGACUACAUGAAGCUGGAAUCACUAGUAAUCGUAGAUCAGCUAUGCUACGGUGAAUACGUUCCCGGGUCU